Molecule: ribosomal RNA, 301 nt
Filed under: uncultured bacterium
Lineage: Bacteria
Description: partial 16S ribosomal RNA
Rfam family: Bacterial small subunit ribosomal RNA
Source: RNAcentral
CAGUAGCCGCGGUAAUACGUAGGCAGCGAGCGUUGUUCGGAAUUACUGGGCGUAAAGAGUGUGUAGGCGGUGCUCUAAGUUCGGUGUGAAAUCUCCUGGCUUAACUGGGAGGGUGCGCCGGAAACUGGAGUGCUCGAGCGUGGGAGAGGAAAGCGGAAUUCCUGGUGUAGCGGUGAAAUGCGUAGAUAUCAGGAGGAACACCUGUGGUGUAGACGGCUUUCUGGACCAUUGCUGACGCUGAGACACGAAAGCGUGGGUAGCAAACAGGAUUAGAUACCCCCGUAGUCCCUGUCUCUUAUAC